CAGAACCCUGGUUUCUGGACCCGAAAGCAUCUAGUCCCAAAGACCUCUUUGGAUUAUCAACUGAAAACUUGCGGAAACUGAAACAGAGACCUGAAAACUGGCGCUGCUGGAAAACAGGAACACUGUAGCUGCCGGAAAAGCACUGUAGCUGCCGAAAAAUUCAAUGUUGUCGGAAUUGAAAAAUAAAAAUAUGGAUAGGCUCGGAACUCAAGGUUGAGCAAAACUGUCCUGAAGAAAUUCUGGCUGGAAAGUACUGUAGCUGCCGGAAAAGUCAAUAAAGUCGCCGGAAAAAAACUGAAAGUUGUCGGAAUCGAACGGAAAAAGUAUGGGUAGGGUCGGAAUUGAUAGCCGACCAAUCUGUCCUGAAGAAACAAACUGAAAAAGUGGCCGGAACUGCCCUCACGCGCCGGCGCGUGGGCUUCACGCGCCGAGGGUUCUG
Molecule: long non-coding RNA, 439 nt
Filed under: Nicotiana benthamiana
Lineage: Eukaryota; Viridiplantae; Streptophyta; Magnoliopsida; Solanales; Solanaceae
Description: long non-coding RNA (NBEN_LNC015598)
Source: RNAcentral